Long non-coding RNA from Phacochoerus africanus (Common warthog), 1145 nucleotides. RefSeq lists it as uncharacterized. The transcript has 5 exons. Lineage: Eukaryota; Metazoa; Chordata; Mammalia; Artiodactyla; Suidae. The record is from RefSeq and is a predicted model, not a curated record.
UCCAUGAGCACCCGGAGCCGCAGAGGCAGGACAAAAGUUGUGAGUAUCCAAAGCUCGGGCAGCUGCCAGCAGUGGAGCCGCCGGGGCGACGACCACCAUGCGGAGACCGGCGCGACCUUCUGAGACGCAGCUGGACCCGCCCAGUUCGGCGCCCGGGUCAUUCUAGGGUCUGGGGCAGCGGCGGGGGCCGCGGGCGGGUGGCGUGAACCCAACCGCUGCAGGAUGCCCUCCAAACACAGGGCCCCAGGGCUGUGCGCUGCUGAGCAGAGCCAUAGAAGACCAAGAAGGCCACUGACAUCAUAGACAGAUUGCUCUUACUGUGAACUCUCUUCCUGUGACAUGUCACAUCCUCAGAGCAGAGAUCGCCCUCCUGGAAGAAACCCGUGUUUUGUGAGGCAUUCAAAUUCACAAUCCAGAGGCACUUAACAAGGCAAUUCCCACCGGUGACCACUGACCCUUACAGAUGAAGCCUCAAAAGAGUGUGUUUGGUUUUUUCAAGGAGCAUGGAAAAGCCAGAACUCAAAUUCUUUCUAUGAAGGAAGAAGAGAUGAGGGAGAGAGAGAGUGAAGAUGCCCAUGCAGCCUCAGGUCCUAAGAGCAUCAUCCAACAAUAUGAACAGGAUCCGCCCCUCCAACGCCUUCCUGGGACAGUCCAGCAGGACAGCAGAUGGCAAGUAGACAUCAUGGUGAUCAUUCUGAAAUGUAUGGAAAUAUCAAAUCACUCUGUCAUGUAACAGGAACUAACAGUGUGUCAAAGGUCAACUGUGCUUCAAAAACAAACAAACCCCUGGAAAAAGAGAUCAGAUUUGUGGUCACCAGAGGCGACGGUGGAGAAGAAGGGGACCUGGAUGAGGCAACCAAAGGCACAAAUUUCCAGUUAUAAGAUAAAUAAGUACUAGGGAUAUAAUGUACAACCUGAUAAGUAUAAUCAAUGCUGUUCUACGUUAUAGAUGAAAGUUGCUGAGAAUAAAUCCUUAGAGUUCUCAUUACAAGGAAAAAACAUUUUUUUCUAGUUCUUUAAUUUUAUAUCUACCAGAGGUGGAUGUUCCUUGAACUUAGUGUGAUAAUCCCUCCAUGACGUAAGUCAGAUCACUAUGCCAUACACCUUAAACUUAAACGGUGUCAUAUGUUAAUUAUAUCUCAAUA